ACGCUCGACACCUACGGGGGGCAGCAGUAGGGAAUCUUCCACAAUGGGCGCAAGCCUGAUGGAGCAACACCGCGUGAGUGAAGAAGGGUUUCGGCUCGUAAAGCUCUGUUGUUGGAGAAGAACGUGCGUGAGAGUAACUGUUCACGCAGUGACGGUAUCCAACCAGAAAGUCACGGCUAACUACGUGCCAGCAGCCGAGGUAAUCUGAGCGGGCUGGCAAGGC
This 223-nucleotide ribosomal RNA is filed under the name uncultured bacterium. Its description in RNAcentral is "partial 16S ribosomal RNA". It matches the Rfam family "Bacterial small subunit ribosomal RNA", at positions 328 to 539 of the family's 1533-position model. The record is from RNAcentral.